This 1521-nucleotide ribosomal RNA is filed under the name metagenome. RNAcentral's name for it is "bacterial SSU rRNA". It matches the Rfam family "Bacterial small subunit ribosomal RNA". The record is from RNAcentral.
GAGUUUGAUCAUGGCUCAGAUUGAACGCUGGCGGCAGGCCUAACACAUGCAAGUCGAACGGUAACAGGAAACAGCUUGCUGUUUCGCUGACGAGUGGCGGACGGGUGAGUAAUGUCUGGGAAACUGCCUGAUGGAGGGGGAUAACUACUGGAAACGGUAGCUAAUACCGCAUAACGUCGCAAGACCAAAGAGGGGGACCUUCGGGCCUCUUGCCAUCAGAUGUGCCCAGAUGGGAUUAGCUAGUAGGUGGGGUAACGGCUCACCUAGGCGACGAUCCCUAGCUGGUCUGAGAGGAUGACCAGCCACACUGGAACUGAGACACGGUCCAGACUCCUACGGGAGGCGGCAGUGGGGAAUAUUGCACAAUGGGCGCAAGCCUGAUGCAGCCAUGCCGCGUGUAUGAAGAAGGCCUUCGGGUUGUAAAGUACUUUCAGCGGGGAGGAAGGGAGUAAAGUUAAUACCUUUGCUCAUUGACGUUACCCGCAGAAGAAGCACCGGCUAACUCCGUGCCAGCAGCCGCGGUAAUACGGAGGGUGCAAGCGUUAAUCGGAAUUACUGGGCGUAAAGCGCACGCAGGCGGUUUGUUAAGUCAGAUGUGAAAUCCCCGGGCUCAACCUGGGAACUGCAUCUGAUACUGGCAAGCUUGAGUCUCGUAGAGGGGGGUAGAAUUCCAGGUGUAGCGGUGAGAUGCGUAGAGAUCUGGAGGAAUACCGGUGGCGAAGGCGGCCCCCUGGACGAAGACUGACGCUCAGGUGCGAAAGCGUGGGGAGCAAACAGGAUUAGAUACCCUGGUAGUCCACGCCGUAAACGAUGUCGACUUGGAGGUUGUGCCCUUGAGGCGUGGCCUCCGGAGCUAACGCGUUAAGUCGACCGCCUGGGGAGUACGGCCGCAAGGUUAAAACUCAAAUGAAUUGACGGGGGCCCGCACAAGCGGUGGAGCAUGUGGUUUAAUUCGAUGCAACGCGAAGAACCUUACCUGGUCUUGACAUCCACGGAAGUUUUCAGAGAUGAGAAUGUGCCUUCGGGAACCGUGAGACAGGUGCUGCAUGGCUGUCGUCAGCUCGUGUUGUGAAAUGUUGGGUUAAGUCCCGCAACGAGCGCAACCCUUAUCCUUUGUUGCCAGCGGUCCGGCCGGGAACUCAAGGGAGACUGCCAGUGAUAAACUGGAGGAAGGUGGGGAUGACGUCAAGUCAUCAUGGCCCUUACGACCAGGGCUACACACGUGCUACAAUGGCGCAUACAAAGAGAAGCGACCUCGCGAGAGCAAGCGGACCUCAUAAAGUGCGUCGUAGUCCGGAUUGGAGUCUGCAACUCGACUCCAUGAAGUCGGAAUCGCUAGUAAUCGUGGAUCAGAAUGCCACGGUGAAUACGUUCCCGGGCCUUGUACACACCGCCCGUCACACCAUGGGAGUGGGUUGCAAAAGAAGUAGGUAGCUUAACCCUCGGGAGGGCGCUUACCACUUUGUGAUUCAUGACUGGGGUGAAGUCGUAACAAGGUAACCGUAGGGGAACCUGCGGUUG